GCCUGGGUGGCUCAGUCGGUUGAGCAUCCGACUUCAGCUCAGGUCACGAUCUCACGGUUUGUGGGUUCGAGCCCCGCGUCGGGCU
This 85-nucleotide transfer RNA is filed under the name Felis catus (domestic cat). It matches the Rfam family "tRNA". From Rfam's summary of the family: Transfer RNA (tRNA) molecules are approximately 80 nucleotides in length. Their secondary structure includes four short double-helical elements and three loops (D, anti-codon, and T loops). Lineage: Eukaryota; Metazoa; Chordata; Mammalia; Carnivora; Felidae. The record is from Rfam by way of RNAcentral.